This 424-nucleotide ribosomal RNA is filed under the name uncultured bacterium. RNAcentral describes it as "partial 16S ribosomal RNA". It matches the Rfam family "Bacterial small subunit ribosomal RNA", at positions 360 to 776 of the family's 1533-position model. The record is from RNAcentral.
AAUAUUGGACAAUGGGGGGAACCCUGAUCCAGCCAUGCCGCGUGUUUGAAGAAGGUCUUCGGAUUGUAAAGCACUUUACGUUGGGAGGAAGAGUUGUCGGCUAAAACCUUGCAAUUUUGACGUUACCAACAGAAUAAGCACCGGCUAACUUCGUGCCUGCCGCCGCGGUAAUACGAAGGGUGCAAGCGUUAAUCGGAAUUACUGGGCGUACAGCGCGAGUAGGUGGUUCGUUAAGUUGGAAGUGAAAGCCCCGGGCUUAACCUGGGAAUUGCUUUCAAAACUGACGAGCUAGGGUACGGUAGAGGGUAGUGGAAUUUCCUGUGUAGCGGUGAAAUGCGUAGAUAUAGGAAGGAACACCAGUGGCGAAGGCGACCACCUGGACUGAUACUGACACUGAGGUGCGAAAGCGUGGGGAGCAAACAGG